RNAcentral lists this ribosomal RNA (1402 nucleotides) under uncultured bacterium. RNAcentral's name for it is "16S ribosomal RNA". It matches the Rfam family "Bacterial small subunit ribosomal RNA". The record is from RNAcentral.
AGAGUUUGAUCCUGGCUCAGGAUGAACGCUAGCUACAGGCUUAACACAUGCAAGUCGAGGGGCAGCGGGAAGUUAGCUUGCUAACUUUGCCGGCGACCGGCGCACGGGUGAGUAACGCGUAUCCAACCUUCCCCUUAGUAGGGCAUAGCCCGGCGAAAGUCGGAUUAAUACCCUAUGUUUUCCUAUGAGGCCAUCUGAGCAGGAACAAAGAUUUAUCGCUAAGGGAUGAGGAUGCGUCUGAUUAGGCAGUAGGCGGGGUAACGGCCCACCUAGCCGACGAUCAGUAGGGGUUCUGAGAGGAAGGUCCCCCACAUUGGUACUGAGACACGGACCAAACUCCUACGGGAGGCAGCAGUGAGGAAUAUUGGUCAAUGGGCGUAAGCCUGAACCAGCCAAGUAGCGUGCAGGAUGACGGCCCUACGGGUUGUAAACUGCUUUUGUACGGGAAUAAAGUGAGGGACGUGUCCCUUUUUGUAUGUACCGUAAGAAUAAGGACCGGCUAAUUCCGUGCCAGCAGCCGCGGUAAUACGGAAGGUCCGGGCGUUAUCCGGAUUUAUUGGGUUUAAAGGGAGCGCAGGCUGGCCUUUAAGCGUGACGUGAAAUGUCCCGGCUCAACCGGGGAGUUGCGUCGCGAACUGGAGGUCUUGAGUGAGUGCGAGGUACGCGGAAUUCGUGGUGUAGCGGUGAAAUGCUUAGAUAUCACGAAGAACCCCGAUUGCGAAGGCAGCGUACCAGUCCUUAACUGACGCUAAAGCUCGAAGGUGCGGGUAUCGAACAGGAUUAGAUACCCUGGUAGUCCGCACGGUAAACGAUGGACACUCGGGAAUUUGCCCCUUUGUGGGUGAGUCCCCCCACCAAAAGCGUAAGGUAUCCCCACCGGGGGAGUACCCGGCCACGGGGAAACUCAAAAGAAUUGACGGGGGCCCGCACAAGCGGAGGCACAUGUGGUUUAAUUUGAUUGAUACGCGAAGAACCUUACCCGGGCUUGAAUUGCAGGCGACGGGGCGAGAGAUUGCCCUUUCUUCGGACGCCUCUGAAGGUGCUGCAUGGUUGUCGUCAGCUCGUGCCGUGAGGUGUCGGCUCAAGUGCCAUAACGAGCGCAACCCCUGUCUCCAGUUGCCAUCAGGUGAUGCUGGGCACUCUGGAGAUACUGCCAUCGCAAGAUGUGAGGAAGGUGGGGAUGACGUCAAAUCAGCACGGCCCUUACGUCCGGGGCUACACACGUGUUACAAUGGGGGACACAGAGGGCCGCCACCGGGUGACCGGGCGCCAAUCCAUCAAAAUCCCUCUCAGUUCGGACUGGAGUCUGCAACCCGACUCCACGAAGCUGGAUUCGCUAGUAAUCGCGCAUCAGCCAUGGCGCGGUGAAUACGUUCCCGGGCCUUGCACUCACCGCCCGUCA